AAGAAAAGGCAAAGGAUGAUCACCUUUGCCUUUUUUAAUUUCUUUUAUUGGGGCUUCAUCCAAGGAAAAUACAAGACAUCACGG
Molecule: small RNA, 84 nt
Filed under: Parachlamydia acanthamoebae
Lineage: Bacteria; Pseudomonadati; Chlamydiota; Chlamydiia; Parachlamydiales; Parachlamydiaceae
Description: Termite-leu
Source: RNAcentral